RNAcentral lists this ribosomal RNA (497 nucleotides) under uncultured bacterium. Its description in RNAcentral is "partial 16S ribosomal RNA". It matches the Rfam family "Bacterial small subunit ribosomal RNA", at positions 28 to 507 of the family's 1533-position model. The record is from RNAcentral.
GACGAACGCUGGCGGCGUGCCUAAUACAUGCAAGUCGAACGCUGAAGCGCGGAGCUUGCUCUUCUUGGAUGAGUUGCGAACGGGUGAGUAACGCGUAGGUAACCUGCCUUGUCGCGGGGGAUAACUAUUGGAAACGAUAGCUACUACCGCAUAACAAUGGGUGACACAUGUCAUUUAUUUGAAAGGGGCAUUUGCUCCACUACAAGAUGGACCUGCGUUGUAUUAGCUAGUAGGUGAGGUAAGGGCUCACCUAGGCCGCGAUACAUAGCCGGCCGGAGGGGGUGAGCGGCCACACAGGGACGGAGACACGGCCCAGACUCCCUCGGGAGGGAGCCGGAGGGAAGCAUCGGCGAUGGGGGGAAGCAUGACCGAGCAAGGGCGCGGGCGUGAGGGAGGGUGUCGGAUCGUAAAGCUCCGUUGUAAGUCAAGAACGGGGGUGAGAGUGGAAUGUUCACACGGUGACGGUAGCUUACCAGAAAGCGACGGCUAACUACGUG